This 247-nucleotide long non-coding RNA is filed under the name Lathyrus oleraceus (garden pea). Its description in RNAcentral is "Pisum sativum (pea) long non-coding RNA (PSAT_LNC023637)". Lineage: Eukaryota; Viridiplantae; Streptophyta; Magnoliopsida; Fabales; Fabaceae. The record is from RNAcentral.
AUAAAGGCGAUCGACUUACAAGGUUAUGGAAGGAUGAUCUCAACAUUGAAUUGAGAGAUAUGAAAUUUUAAAUGACUUAGUAUGACGAUUAGAUUGAUUAAAGGAUGAAGGUCAUUACGAAAAUAUAACUUAAGUCAUGGUUCAAAUGAGCUUAGGAAUUGCACAAGUGAGUUUAAUCAAGCACAUUCAAGAAUGAUAUCUCAAACAAAUUCUACAAAUCGAAAUAAUGAUUGAUUUUAAAUUAACA